This 289-nucleotide ribosomal RNA is filed under the name uncultured bacterium. RNAcentral's name for it is "partial 16S ribosomal RNA". It matches the Rfam family "Bacterial small subunit ribosomal RNA", at positions 773 to 1060 of the family's 1533-position model. The record is from RNAcentral.
GUGGAUUAGCUACCCCAGUAGUCCACGCCGUAAACGAUGAUUACUAGGUGUUGGGGGUCGAACCUCAGCGCCCAAGCAAACGCGAUAAGUAAUCCGCCUGGGGAGUACGUACGCAAGUAUGAAACUCAAAGGAAUUGACGGGGACCCGCACAAGCGGUGGAGCAUGUGGUUUAAUUCGACGCAACGCGAGGAACCUUACCAGCGUUUGACAUCUUAGGAAUGAGACAGAGAUGUUUCAGUGUCCCUUCGGGGAAACCUAAAGACAGGUGGUGCACGGUCGUCGUCAACU